Molecule: long non-coding RNA, 618 nt
Filed under: Apteryx owenii (little spotted kiwi)
Lineage: Eukaryota; Metazoa; Chordata; Aves; Apterygiformes; Apterygidae
Description: lncRNA (ENSAOWG00000006657.1)
Source: RNAcentral
CGAGACUCGAGGCGAGGGCGGGUGUGUGGUAGCGGCGGCCUCGCGGCUUGGCUGUUACGAGGCCGGCGGCGUGGCUGGAAAGCUGUGACUUCGUUUUUUCACCCCCCUUGAAGCCUGGCCGGGCUUAUUCAGUGCAGGCUGUCUGCGCCGUCCCAGGCCCGCGGCAACUCCUCGCCUUCGUUCGUGCUCUUCGCCGAGCGGCAAAGCGGGAGUGGUGUCCCCGUUAACCUGGCGUGCUGAGGGGUUAACGGACUGCGUCAGCCUAACAGCUUGGACUGCACAAGGUGAACGGGUCUCAGAAGGAGGGCCUGGUUUUCUCCCAUUUGGAGAAUUAGCUGCCGAAAGAUUUUUCCUGGUAUUUCAAGAUAAGUUUUGUUAUCGUGGCAUAUAUCAGCUAUACACAAUCCCACACAUUUUCCAGCUGUAUCCAGAAAAGAGGAAGAGGUUGACUGCUCGGUCUACUUCAUUUGAAUAUAAUGAACAACUUCUUCAAUAGAGUUUUGAAGGCUUCUUGUGAAGUUGCCUGACUCUGUUUCACUAAUAUAUUCUGUUUCUGGUACUGAUUUUUGUAGAAACUUUUCUAUAUAUUUUAUGUCAUUACUGCUUCAUCAAGUAUGC